Non-coding RNA from Acanthosepion pharaonis, 97 nucleotides. The record is from the annotation of a GenBank genome assembly. Lineage: Eukaryota; Metazoa; Mollusca; Cephalopoda; Sepiida; Sepiidae.
AUUGAAACACCAGUUCCCAUAAGAUCACCAAAGUUAAGCAAUGUUGAGCCCAGUCAGUACCUAAAUGGGUGACCACUUAGGAAUACCAGGUGCUAUA